Molecule: ribosomal RNA, 329 nt
Filed under: uncultured eukaryote
Lineage: Eukaryota
Description: partial 18S ribosomal RNA
Rfam family: Eukaryotic small subunit ribosomal RNA
Source: RNAcentral
CCCUUAGAUGUUCUGGGCUGCACGCGCGCUACACUGAUGCAUUCAACGAGUCUAAAACCUGCUCUGAUAGGGGUGGGUAAUCUUUUGAAUGUGCAUCGUGAUUGGGAUAGAUGAUUGCAAUUUUUCAUCUUCAACGAGGAAUGCCUAGUAAACGCAAGUCAUCAGCUUGCAUUGAUUACGUCCCUGCCCUUUGUACACACCGCCCGUCGCUCCUACCGAUUGAAUGAUCCGAUGAAUAUCAUGGAUUGAGGAUUAUAGCAGGUUCGCCUGUCUUGAUCUUCGAGAAGUGAAGUAAAUCUUAUCAUUUAGAGGAAGGAGAAGUCGUAACA